AUAUGGGAAGUUAAUAAAAUCAUUAUUUAAUUGUUGCCAAUGUCAAAAUUAUUCUAAAUUGUUCUUUAAAUGAGCAAAAUGUAGGAUUUUAUAUAUUAUAGGGAAAUGUCGGAACAUUACAUAACCCGUUUCGGAAAGAUUAAUAAAAAAUUAAAUUGCAACAAUAACUAACUCAAUUUUUUCAUAAUAAAACUAUUGCAGUUUACAUUUAUCAUUAUUAAUCAGUAAGUUCAGGUUCUAAUGUAUGAUUAUGUAAUGAUGGGAUUGGUCCAUAUUUAUUAGUGGUGCAAGCUAAUAUAUGAUUAUUUUCAGAAACUCGGAAAAUAGGAAAUGGAAUGAUUAACAAGAGAUUUACGGAUUAGCUUACCCCCAGUUGUAUAUGACAGGUCAGUAAUUACCACAAGUAUUCUGAUGCACUAGGAUCAUGGCAGACACAAAUUUAAAUUUUGUUACGGAGCAGGACGAUAGCUGGGUGUAGAGCUCGCGGUUGCCACGGUGACGACCGUGAAAGCGUAGGUCUAGGACAGCCUCCCGCCUACGUACCCUGCGAAAAGCGCCUACCACGGGGAUUCCCAUUUCAAUAAAGACGGCACCCAUGGUUGCUUAGGGUGGUUCCGUUUAAUAAUUAUUUUAACAUACUUACUACCCAUCCUAGGAACUCACGUGUCCAAACUUUAAUCAUUGUAAAAGUGGUCACCGCUGAAAUUAUGUCAUCCCCAUGAUAAUUGUGUUAUUAGAUCACUUUGCAAGGCACGGCAGAGGUGGUUGCACCAGGCGACUAAACGAAACAUGCUAAUUCCUGUAAUUAAUUUACUGGAAGAUUCUCGGUAUACGCAUCCACCUAUGUGACACCCUUUGGAUUUUUGAAAAUUCCUACAGAUCCAUUUUGGAUAAUCGUCGCUUUUAUGAUUCAAGAAUUAAACGAUGGGCAAAGAAUACAGUCUCGCAAAAUCUAGUCAAAAAGUGAUCUAAUCUCUACAGUUGUGAGAGAUACAUGUUAUGUCCGAUUAGCCUUAAUAAAAUCAUUAAAGAGUUUAGAGUUUUCUAGAAUGGAAAAAAAGAUAUGAAUAAGUGGUUUCUUCAUCAAUAAAAUAAAAAUAUAAGUGGCGAAAUAAUUAUGAAAAACCAAAUUUAAUCAUUCGCAAGUAAGUGGAAAUGAUAAACAAUUUACAGUGAGUGACGGCUAACAGAUGGCUACAAGAAUUUGAAAUUCGGUUUUUAUAAAUUUCUACGGAAAAAUUAUCCCAUGAACCAGAACUGUCUUUUAAUGAAUAUGUAUCAUACCUAUUACUGUUUUAUAUUUUUAUGUAUGUUUAUAUUGCUAAUGAUAGAAAUUACCACAUAUUA
Agrilus planipennis (emerald ash borer) is the source of this 1347-nucleotide long non-coding RNA. RefSeq lists it as uncharacterized. The transcript has 3 exons. Lineage: Eukaryota; Metazoa; Arthropoda; Insecta; Coleoptera; Buprestidae. The record is from RefSeq and is a predicted model, not a curated record.